RNAcentral lists this ribosomal RNA (3636 nucleotides) under Triticum aestivum (bread wheat). Its description in RNAcentral is "partial small subunit ribosomal RNA". The record is from RNAcentral. Lineage: Eukaryota; Viridiplantae; Streptophyta; Magnoliopsida; Poales; Poaceae.
AGAGCGAGAGACACACGCGCACAGUCACACCGAGCGAGAGAGAAAAUAAAGGGGGCUCGUCGGGCUCGUGCAGGGUCGAGAGAGAAAAAAAAGAGAGAGAGCUCGCUCAUUCCCAUUCCCAUCCCAUCCCCUCCCCUCGUCGGAGCCGCGCCGCCGCCCGCCAAUCCGCCGCCGCCGCCCAUGUCAAAGACGCCGGGGAAGACGCCGCGGACGCCCAGGCGGAUCCUGGAGUCCUACACCAUCAAGGGAUCCGACGGCGUCAUCCGCCCUGGGGACUCUGUGCUGAUGAAGGCGCCCGACACAUCAAAGCCUCCGUAUGUGGCCAAGAUUGAGGAAAUCGAGGCAGCAGGACCUCGGGGCGCAAAUGUCAAGGUUAAAGUGCGCUGGUACUACCGACCAGAGGAGUCUAUUGGUGGGCGCAGGCCAUUCCAUGGCGAAAAGGAGGUGUUCCUCUCUGACCACCAAGAUGUGCAGAGUGCUGACACCAUAGAGUGCAAGUGCAACGUUUACAGCUUCCGGGACUACACCAAGCUUUCUGCUGUCAAUCCUGAGGACUAUUUUUGCCGCUUCGAGUACAAGUCAAUCACAGGCAGCUUUGUGCCUGAUCGCAUUGCUGUGUUUUGUAAGUGUGAGAUGCCAUACAACCCUGAUGAUCUUAUGAUCCAGUGUGAGGAAUGCUCUGAUUGGUUUCACCCUGCUUGUAUUGGAAAGACCAUCAAAGAAGCAAAGAAACUUGAGAAUUUUACAUGCGAAGGUUGUGUUGCUGAAAAUGGAAAUGGAAAUGGAGUCAAGAACGAAAAUUCCCAUGAAUCUACUGGUGAAUCAGAUGAGAAGCAGGUGCAGUCGAAGCGGCGACGGCGGUGAAGGCGAAGGCGAUCUGGGCGGAAGUCCUCCAUCUCUUCACGCAUGUGUUGCGGUGGAUGUACAUUGCUGUUUCCAGUUUGAUGUAGAACGAACCUGUAUUGAGAGUGUCUUCUAGAGUCUGGCAAUCGGCCAGUUUGCGACUUUGCAUAUCCAUGUGGACCUACCAGUUAGAGGGAGUCAUUUUUCUCUCUUCUUUUUUCCGUCCCCCCUUUGUGUUGACUUGGACAAUGGUGAGUGAGCUUAAAGUCCUUUCUUCAUUGACUAGAAAAACAGGAUACCUUUUCUUUUUUUGAGGGAAGAAAGGAUAUCAACUGAAUUCCCUUUUACUAGAAAAAGUUUUUUUAAAAAGCUCAAUCUUUUUUUAGGGAACAAAAAGCUCAAUCUAUUUUUAGGGAACAAAAAGCUCAAACUAUUUUCUUUUUGAGAAAAAAAAGCUCAAACUAUUACUAUCUCUCGGUUGAGCAAGAAAAAGGACCAAACUAAAGCCUGGACGUCGAGCUGGAGGCGUGGCAAGUUGGCCCAGUACGAGCGACCAUUAUGGGCCGAGCCCACGGGCCACGCCUCAUCACCGGCCCAUAACUAAACCCCGCGGCUUAUCCCCAACUCCCGGCGCUGCACUGACUGACACCACCACCAGUGGCAGCAGCAGCACAGCAAUGGCGACGCUUCUCCUCCCCUCCCACGCGGCGAGCCACCACCGCCGCGCCGUCUUCUCCGGCGGCGCGCACCACCACCCGCUUCUCCAGCCGGACCUCCUCGCGGAUGCCCUGCACGCCGCGGCGAGCAGGAGGCGCAGGCCCAUCGCGGUGGCGUGCCGGGCGGCGUCAGCGGCGGCCAGGGCCAAGGCUCCCCCGAGCGCGGGCGCGGGCCCGCCGCCGCAGGCGCUGGCCAAGGAGGCGCACAAGUAUUUCGACCACGCGGUCGUCAGCGUGCGCGCGGGCGACGGCGGCCACGGCGCCGUCCUGAACAUGCCGCCGGGUCCCUCCGCGGACUCGGCCCCCGCCAAGACCCGCGGCGGCGGCAGAGCCGCCGACAAGGGCAAGGCCAAGAAGGGCAGCGGGAAGAAGGUGUCGUUCAAGCGGAACUACGACGGGUCGGUGUCGCUGCCCGUUGGCGGGCACGGCGGCGACGUGGUGCUGUACGCCGACGAGGCGGAGGAGUCGCUGCUGGGGUUCCACGCCAAGGCCCGGCACUGCGCCAAGAGGGGCGGCAACGUGGGGGCCACCGGCACCCUCAGCUCCCGGAUGCACAACGGCUUCGCCGGGGAGACGCUCAGGAUACCCGUGCCUGUAGGCACCGUCGUGAGGCGCAAGAAGGGGUCUGUUCUUGCUGAUUUGGCCCAUCCUGGUGAUGAGGUGCUCGUCGCUAGGGGUGGACAGGGCGGGAUUAGCUUGAUCGAUGCGCCCGAUUACAAAAGAGGGAAAGCCAUGGCUUUAUCGCCUAAUGUCAUGCGUGAUGUUACUGAUAAGAUAUUAACUCAUGGCCAGCCUGGUGAGGAAAUAAGCUUGGAGUUAAUCUUAAGGGUGGUUGCAGAUGUUGGCCUUGUGGGACUUCCAAAUGCUGGAAAAUCAACACUUCUAUCAGCUAUAACACUUGCAAGACCAGACAUUGCUGACUAUCCAUUCACUACAUUGAUGCCAAAUCUUGGCCGGCUUGGUGGAGAUCCUACUUUAGGGGCUAUGCAGUUUUCCUCUGGAGCAACAUUGGCAGAUUUGCCAGGUCUUAUUGAGGGCGCUCAUCUGGGCAAGGGUCUUGGUCGCAAUUUCUUGAGACAUUUGAGGAGAACGAGGGUAAUUGUCCACGUCGUUGAUGCUGCUGCUGAUGACCCUGUGAACGAUUAUAAGAUUGUCAGAGAUGAAUUAAGGAUGUAUAACCCCAAAUACCUGGAGCGGCCUUAUGUUGUGGUCCUGAACAAGAUUGAUCUUCCUAAGGCCCAAGAUAUGUUAUCUUCAUUAGCACUUGAAAUAUCUUCAGUAGGCUGUGAAGAAUGCCACGACAGCAAUACCAGCAAAGAAAAGCUAAAUGAAAAUUUCAACAGACACCAUAUGUCAGAGGACGAUGAUAAGGAACUUGGGGACUAUCCAAGACCUCAAGCUGUAAUCGGUGCAAGCGUACUGAGGCACAUCGGGAUCGACGAGAUGCUGAAGGAAAUCAGGACAGCCCUGGGAAAAUGCUCCGAUCACAUGUUACCAGGACCAUGAAUCUGAAAGCCUGCACGCUGGAGCCCUUAACAUCAGUCCAACACCUGGAAAGGAUCGAGACGGAUCGACUGGUUCUUCAAAAACAGCGUCAGUCGAGUCUGUCCUUUGCUCAUGACACCGUUGGCAAUUCCUGGAGGACAAAAACUACCAGUCUGAUUGUCCAAAAUCCUGACGCGGAGCGCUUCAGCGUCUUCCACGUUAGCUUGAGCACGAGCAGUUGCAGAUAUCCAGGCUACACCUCCAUCUGUAUUCAGUGCCAGAGAUAGAAAUAAAUCAGUUGUGUGAAAUAUUGAAAAACUAAUGGGGACUCGAAUAUAUUCGUCUGCACGUAUUAGUGAAGAUUUGAGAAUCAUAUCUUCCGUACUAAAUGACUAGUAGAAAUUGUCUAUAUGGACUGAUUAAUUGUUCUCUCUGCUUUACUUAUAUAGCUGAGUAACUGACAAAGCUUUGGCCUUUACAAAUAGUUUGUUUAAUGCUCAUAUUUGUUCUUCAUUUACACAUUGUCCAUAUCCAUAUGUAUGUUGUGCUAUAUAUUGAAAACUAGUGUCAACAAAAAUGUGCACAUUUUGUG